RNAcentral lists this ribosomal RNA (394 nucleotides) under uncultured bacterium. Its description in RNAcentral is "bacterial SSU rRNA". It matches the Rfam family "Bacterial small subunit ribosomal RNA", at positions 29 to 428 of the family's 1533-position model. The record is from RNAcentral.
AUUGAACGCUGGCGACAUGCUUUACACAUGCAAGUCGAACGGUAACAGGCCUUCGGGUGCUGACGAGUGGCGAACGGGUGAGUAAUGCAUCGGAACGUGCCCAAUCGUGGGGGAUAACGUAGCGAAAGUUACGCUAAUACCGCAUAAGCCCUGAGGGGGAAAGUGGGGGACCGCAAGGCCUCACGCGAAUGGAGCGGCCGAUGUCAGAUUAGCUAGUUGGUGGGGUAAAGGCUCACCAAGGCGACGAUCUGUAGCGGGUCUGAGAGGAUGAUCCGCCACACUGGGACUGAGACACGGCCCAGACUCCUACGGGAGGCAGCAGUGGGGAAUUUUGGACAAUGGGCGCAAGCCUGAUCCAGCCAUGCCGCGUGCGGGACGAAGGCCUCGGUUGUAA